CUUACCUUAAUUCUUUUCAAUACUUUUUCAGCCUUUUUUUCUUGCAACUCAUUCUACUCUCAACAUCGGUGACCAGAAAAAAGUUAAAAAAAAAUCCUCAUCUUGACUGGGUCGAACCCGUAAUCUAGUCUUGCAAUUCUUCCAAGAAUCUCGUCGAAUCGCUAGAUUCUUAAAACCCAUUAUCAUUCUCGAAUUUAAUUCGAGAUUUUUCUCCUCUGCUUUUCAAAUCUACAGUUUCUUCCAGUGACUGAAUCAAGAGUCUCCUUCUUCUGUACUAAAAGAUUUAAUUGCGGACUGUGCAUUUAAUUCGGAAAGGAGGACGCUUUAGAUUCGCUGCUGAGAGAAUCAGAGAGUCAUGUCAUGUGAGGGUUUGGUGAAGAGGAAGAAGGAGAACAUGUGACUUACGUUUUGCUUAGGAAAAUGAUAUGAUUGCUUUGACGAGGUGAGCCAUUUGAAUUCUUCUUAGUAUCAUAAAAAUCUUAUCCUUCUUCUGAAAUGAAAAGCAAUGUACAUGUGGAUAAUACAUUGCGUACACUGGGUAGUUCUAUGUACACAUGUACACUUAUGGAUGUUCACGCUAUAGGUCAAUGUACACACGUACAAUAUCAAAUUCUAUAUCCACAUGGACAAUAUAUAAAGAUCUUCAUCUUGUUUCUU
Brassica napus (rape) is the source of this 657-nucleotide long non-coding RNA. RefSeq lists it as uncharacterized. Lineage: Eukaryota; Viridiplantae; Streptophyta; Magnoliopsida; Brassicales; Brassicaceae. The transcript has 2 exons. The record is from RefSeq and is a predicted model, not a curated record.